RNAcentral lists this non-coding RNA (30 nucleotides) under Cricetulus griseus (Chinese hamster). Lineage: Eukaryota; Metazoa; Chordata; Mammalia; Rodentia; Cricetidae. The record is from RNAcentral.
GUGGCCUGGAAAGAAGUUCUGUAAAUUAGA